UGGGGAAUAUUGGACAAUGGGGGGAACCCUGAUCCAGCCAUGCCGCGUGUGUGAAGAAGGCCUUUUGGUUGUAAAGCACUUUAAGUAGGGAGGAAUAGUUAUUGGUUAAUACCCAAUGAUGAUGACGUUACCUACAGAAUAAGCACCGGCUAACUCUGUGCCAGCAGCCGCGGUAAUACAGAGGGUGCGAGCGUUAAUCGGAAUUACUGGGCGUAAAGCGAGUGUAGGUGGCUUAUUAAGUCACAUGUGAAAUCCCUGGGCUUAACCUAGGAACUGCAUGUGAUACUGGUGAGCUAGAGUAUGUGAGAGGAAAGUAGAAUUCCAGGUGUAGCGGUGAAAUGCGUAGAGAUCUGGAGGAAUACCGAUGGCGAAGGCAGCUUUCUGGCAUAAUACUGACACUGAGACUCGAAAGCGUGGGUAGCAAACAGG
RNAcentral lists this ribosomal RNA (429 nucleotides) under uncultured bacterium. Its description in RNAcentral is "bacterial SSU rRNA". It matches the Rfam family "Bacterial small subunit ribosomal RNA", at positions 355 to 776 of the family's 1533-position model. The record is from RNAcentral.